AAAAGCUCGUAGUUGGAUCUCAGCUCCGGCCGGACGGUCCGCCUACCGGUGGUUACUGUUCGUCGCCGAGCGUUCAGGCGGUUAUUCUUGAUGAUCUUCACCGGUUGUCUCGGGUGACCGCCAAGUUUACUUUGAAAAAAUUAGAGUGCUCAAAGCAGGCGCGACGCCUGAAUAAUUGUGCAUGGAAUAAUGGAAUAGGACCUCGGUUCUAUUUUGUUGGUUUUCGGAACACGAGGUAAUGAUUAAGAGGGACAGACGGGGGCAUUCGUAUUGCGACGCUAGAGGUGAAAUUCUUGGACCGUCGCAAGACGAACUACUGCGAAAGCAUUUGCCAAGAAUGUUUCCAUUAAUCAAGAACGAAAGUUAGAGGUUCGAAGGCGAUCAGAUACCGCCCUAGUUCUAACCAUAAACGAUGCCAGCCAGUACUCCGCCUGUGUUCCUCAAAUGACACGGCGGGCGACUUCCGGGAAACCAAAGCUUUUGGGUUCCGGGGGAAGUAUGGUUGCAAAGCUGAAACUUAAAGGAAUUGACGGAAGGGCACCACCAGGAUUGGAGCCUGCGGCUUAAUUUGACUCAACACGGGAAAACUUACCCGGCCCGGACACAGGAAGGAUUGACAGAUUAAGAGCUCUUUCUUGAUUCUGUGGGUGGUGGUGCAUGGCCGUUCUUAGUUGGUGGGGCGACUUGUCUGGUUAAUUCCGAUAACGAACGAGACUCUAGCCUACUAAAUAGACGUUCCGAUCCUCUUUCGUCGGACGUUCUUCUUAGAGGGACAGGCGGCGUUUAGCCGCACGAGACAGAGCAAUAACAGGUCUGAGAUGCCCUUAGAUGUCCGGGGCCGCACGCGCGCUACAUUGAAGGAAUCAGCGUGUGCUUUCCCUGUCUGAAAAGACUGGGUAACCCGUUGAACCUCCUUCGUGCUGGGGAUUGGCGCCUGUAAUUACUCGCCAUGAACGAGGAAUUCCCAGUAAGCACGAGUCAUCAGCUCGUGUUGAUUACGUCCCUGCCCUUUGUCCACACCGCCCGUCGCUACUACCGAUUGAAUGAUUUAGUGAGGUCUUCGGACUGGCGCUCGGAUUGGCCUUCGCGGUCGAGCCGGUGUGCCGGAAAGAUGACCAAACUUGAUCAUUUAGAGGAAGUAAAAGUCGUAACAAGGUUUU
RNAcentral lists this ribosomal RNA (1160 nucleotides) under Dolophones sp. 46 DD-2019. RNAcentral's name for it is "SSU rRNA". It matches the Rfam family "Eukaryotic small subunit ribosomal RNA", at positions 622 to 1803 of the family's 1831-position model. Lineage: Eukaryota; Metazoa; Arthropoda; Arachnida; Araneae; Araneidae. The record is from RNAcentral.